UGGCGACCGGCGCACGGGUGAGUAACGCGUACUCCAACCUUCCCGUAUAGUAGAGGAUAGCCCGGCGAAAGUCGGAUUAAUACUCUAUGUUUUCCAAUGAGGACAGUCUGAGCUGGAAUAAGGUUUACCGCUAUAGGGAUGGGGAUGCGUCUGAUUAGAUGGUAGGCGGGGUAACGGCCCACCUAGUCGACGAUCAGUAGGGGUUCUGAGAGGAAGGUCCCCCACAUUGGAACUGGAGACACGGUCCAAACUCCUACGGGAGGCAGCAGUGAGGAAUAUUGGUCAAUGGGCGAGAGCCUGAACCAGCCAAGUAGCGUGCAAGGGAUGACGGCCCUAUGGGUUGUAAACUGCUUUAUAUAGGGAUAAAGUGCACCACGUGUGGUGUUUUGUAGGUACUAUAUGAAUAAGGACCGGCUAAUUCCGUGCCAGCCGCUGC
RNAcentral lists this ribosomal RNA (436 nucleotides) under uncultured bacterium. Its description in RNAcentral is "bacterial SSU rRNA". It matches the Rfam family "Bacterial small subunit ribosomal RNA", at positions 89 to 518 of the family's 1533-position model. The record is from RNAcentral.